Guyanagaster necrorhizus is the source of this 93-nucleotide non-coding RNA. The record is from the annotation of a RefSeq genome assembly. NCBI's taxonomy places the organism in Eukaryota, Fungi, Basidiomycota, Agaricomycetes, Agaricales, Physalacriaceae.
GGCCUGGUGGUCUAGUAGUAUGAUUCCUUGUUAGGGUUAUUCGUAAAUCUUCGAUUGUCGAGGAGGUCCUGGGUUCAAUUCCCAGCCAGGCCC